This 497-nucleotide ribosomal RNA is filed under the name Vreelandella sulfidaeris. RNAcentral's name for it is "bacterial SSU rRNA". It matches the Rfam family "Bacterial small subunit ribosomal RNA", at positions 267 to 756 of the family's 1533-position model. Lineage: Bacteria; Pseudomonadati; Pseudomonadota; Gammaproteobacteria; Oceanospirillales; Halomonadaceae. The record is from RNAcentral.
ACCAAGGCAACGAUCCGUAGCUGGUCUGAGAGGAUGAUCAGCCACAUCGGGACUGAGACACGGCCCGAACUCCUACGGGAGGCAGCAGUGGGGAAUAUUGGACAAUGGGGGCAACCCUGAUCCAGCCAUGCCGCGUGUGUGAAGAAGGCCCUCGGGUUGUAAAGCACUUUCAGCGAGGAAGAACGCCUGGCGGUUAAUACCCGCCAGGAAAGACAUCACUCGCAGAAGAAGCACCGGCUAACUCCGUGCCAGCAGCCGCGGUAAUACGGAGGGUGCAAGCGUUAAUCGGAAUUACUGGGCGUAAAGCGCGCGUAGGUGGCUUGAUAAGCCGGUUGUGAAAGCCCCGGGCUCAACCUGGGAACGGCAUCCGGAACUGUCAGGCUAGAGUGCAGGAGAGGAAGGUAGAAUUCCCGGUGUAGCGGUGAAAUGCGUAGAGAUCGGGAGGAAUACCAGUGGCGAAGGCGGCCUUCUGGACUGACACUGACACUGAGGUGCGA